Manduca sexta (tobacco hornworm) is the source of this 370-nucleotide long non-coding RNA. RefSeq lists it as uncharacterized. The record is from RefSeq and is a predicted model, not a curated record. The transcript is spliced from 2 exons. NCBI's taxonomy places the organism in Eukaryota, Metazoa, Arthropoda, Insecta, Lepidoptera, Sphingidae.
AGAGAAAAUAUAAUUUUAUAAAAUAUUUUAAAAAGGAACCGACAAACUGAAAUUAUUAACUUUAAUUGUCGUUUCUUUGAUUUCAGAGCAACGCAAGUUUAUUUAAUUUAUAGUUUGAAGUUCCAAAUAAACAUACGUAGUACUUUGUCUUAUAAAACGACAACUCUAGUUAAUAUCAAUAGAAAUGGAGAAAUUACGAUUUAAAUUUGAGGUAAUGGGAUCAUCAGAUGGAAAGUCAAAUAUAAUUUGUAUAACCUCAAUCGAAACACCGGACGAACGUAUUUUCGAAAUCCCAGACGACCUAAAACCUGCAAGUAAGCAUACCAGCAUAGUAUCUUCAGACGUUUAUACGAAAAUUAGAAAUUCUCUA